This 375-nucleotide ribosomal RNA is filed under the name uncultured organism. RNAcentral describes it as "bacterial SSU rRNA". It matches the Rfam family "Bacterial small subunit ribosomal RNA", at positions 526 to 896 of the family's 1533-position model. The record is from RNAcentral.
CGGGGGGAGCAAGCGUUGUUCGGAUUUACUGGGCGUAAAGGGCGUGUAGGCGGCCACCGCGAGUCGACUGUGAAAUCUCCGGGCUUAACUCGGAAAGGUCAGCCGAUACUGCGGGGCUAGAGUGCAGAAGGGGCAACUGGAAUUCUCGGUGUAGCGGUGAAAUGCGUAGAUAUCGAGAGGAACACCUGCGGCGAAGGCGGGUUGCUGGGCUGACACUGACGCUGAAACGCGAAAGCUAGGGGGAGCGAACGGGAUUAGAUACCCCGGUAGUCCUAGCCUUAAACGAUGAAUGCUUGGUGUCUGGGGUUUUAUAGUCCCCGGGUGCCGUCGCUAACGCUUUAAGCAUUCCGCCUGGGGAGUACGGUCGCAAGACUG